AUUAUUAACUUUUCCUUUUUUGUUCUUCUGUAGGUCUCAUUCCUGUCGGUUAGACUUGUGGUCAUGUUAUUUCCUGAUGGGGUCACGAGGAUGAAUUAGUGAUUAGACACUUAGGUGCUGGACUCAAAGGGACCUGGCUCCAUCACAUGCAAACUUUUUGUAAAAGAAGUUACAGAGGAAACAGAUCAUGAACUGACACAGGGUUGAGGAUGAACAGCACAGGUGUGGGAGGAGGAUGAAGGAAUGUGAAAGGACACUGAUGUGAGAGAUGUUAAAAGCCAUUGACCAUGCAGUCCUGCACGGAAACCCAGAAGAAACAGGAGACAAUGGAAACUCAGCAGCACCCAUACAGACUCAGAGAUGAAGGAUGGGUGUAUUCUUUCUUGUUCUACUGCUAGUUUAAAGAACAGGCGACUUCCCUGCUCAGAUUCCAAAUUCCUUAGGAAAACAAGAAGCGACAACAA
Gorilla gorilla gorilla (western lowland gorilla) is the source of this 464-nucleotide long non-coding RNA. RefSeq lists it as uncharacterized. The record is from RefSeq and is a predicted model, not a curated record. Lineage: Eukaryota; Metazoa; Chordata; Mammalia; Primates; Hominidae. The transcript has 3 exons.